UUUGUUAACUUGAUUUAGGCGAUCUGUGAUGCAGACUACAAGAUAACAAGUUUCACAGCGAACUGGCCGGGAAGAACACACGACGCAAGGAUAUGGAGGAAUUGUGAACUCCGGAACCAGUUUGAAAACGGACAACAUGCUGGCCUACUCAUCGGAGACAGCGGGUAUGGUUGUUCUCGCUAUUUGCUGACACCCUAUUUACGACCAGUGAACCAGUCCGAAGACAGAUUCAACAGGUCACUCUGUAGAACAAGAGUGAUGAUUGAACAGACAUUCGGGAUGUUAAAGAACCGAUUCGGAAUAUUGGGACGCAAGAUCCGCGCAACACCAACAAGGGCUGUACAGCACAUUAGUGCAUGCAUCGUUCUGCACAAUAUUGGAAUUGCGCGCAACGACUCAGUCGAGAUCCCUGAAAUUGAUGCCUAUGAAGCAGCACAACCUGUAGCCAAUCCGCCUGACAAUGUGGAUGGACGCGCUAUGCGGCAUUUCAUUACUGAAACAUAUUUCAGUAGAAUGUAAGAAAGGAAAGAAACUGAAGAUGAACUAAAUAUGCUUAUU
This is a long non-coding RNA of Dreissena polymorpha, 558 nucleotides long. RefSeq lists it as uncharacterized. The transcript has 3 exons. The record is from RefSeq and is a predicted model, not a curated record. Lineage: Eukaryota; Metazoa; Mollusca; Bivalvia; Myida; Dreissenidae.